Molecule: ribosomal RNA, 420 nt
Filed under: uncultured bacterium
Lineage: Bacteria
Description: bacterial SSU rRNA
Rfam family: Bacterial small subunit ribosomal RNA
Source: RNAcentral
UAAGGAAUAUUGGUCAAUGGACGCAAGUCUGAACCAGCCAUGCCGCGUGAAGGAUGAAGGUCCUCUGGAUUGUAAACUUCUUUUAUCUGGGACGAAAACGGGAUUUUUAUCUCAAUUGACGGUACCAGAGGAAUAAGCACCGGCUAACUCCGUGCAGCAGCCGCGGUAAUACGGAGGGUGCGAGCGUUAUCCGGAUUUACUGGGUUUAAAGGGUGCGUAGGUGGGCUUAUAAGUCAGUGGUGAAAUCUCCGAGCUUGACUUGGAAACUGCCGGUGAUACUAUAGGUCUUGAAUUAUCUGGAGGUAAGCAGAAUAUGUCAUGUAGCGGUGAAAUGCUUAGAUAUGACAUAGAACACCAAUUGCGAAGGCAGCUUACUACAUAUAAAUUGACGCUGAGGCACGAAAGCGUGGGGAUCAAACA